AACGAACGCUGGCGGCAUGCCUAACACAUGCAAGUCGAACGAGACCUUCGGUUCUAGUGCCGCCCGGGUGCGUAACGCGUAGGAACCUGUCCUUAGGUUCGGAAUAACUCCGCGAAAGGGGUGCUAAUACCGGCUAAUACCUCCGGACCACAGAUUUGUAGCCCUUGGAUGGGCCCGCGUUGGAUUGGCUAGUUGGUAUGGUAAAAGCCUACCAAGGCGACGAUCCAUAGCUGGGCUGAGAGGAUGAGCAGCCACACUGGGACUGAGACACGGCGCAGACUCCUACGGGAGGUAGCAGUGGGGAAUAUUGGACAACGGGCGAAAGCCUGAACCAGCAAGGCCGCGUGAGUGAUGAAGUCCGUAGGGUUGUAAAGCUCUUUUACCCCGGAUGAUAAUGACAGUACCGUGAGAAUAAGCACCGGCUAACUACGUG
RNAcentral lists this ribosomal RNA (433 nucleotides) under uncultured bacterium. RNAcentral describes it as "partial 16S ribosomal RNA". It matches the Rfam family "Bacterial small subunit ribosomal RNA", at positions 29 to 507 of the family's 1533-position model. The record is from RNAcentral.